AAAUGACUCUCGGCAACGGAUAUCUCGGCUCUUGCAUCGAUGAAGAACGCAGCGAAAUGCGAUACUUGGUGUGAAUUGCAGAAUCCCGUGAACCAUCGAGUCUUUGAACGCAAGUUGCGCCCAAAGCCAUUAGGCUGAGGGCACGCCUGCCUGGGUGUCACAC
Molecule: ribosomal RNA, 163 nt
Filed under: Phaseolus lunatus (lima bean)
Lineage: Eukaryota; Viridiplantae; Streptophyta; Magnoliopsida; Fabales; Fabaceae
Also listed under: 1 other name
Description: 5.8S ribosomal RNA
Rfam family: 5.8S ribosomal RNA
About the family: 5.8S ribosomal RNA (5.8S rRNA) is a component of the large subunit of the eukaryotic ribosome.
Source: RNAcentral